RNAcentral lists this ribosomal RNA (301 nucleotides) under uncultured bacterium. RNAcentral's name for it is "partial 16S ribosomal RNA". It matches the Rfam family "Bacterial small subunit ribosomal RNA", at positions 509 to 808 of the family's 1533-position model. The record is from RNAcentral.
CAGCCGCCGCGGGAAUACAGAGGAUGCAAGCGUUAUCCGGAAUGAUUGGGCGUAAAGCGCGUCUAGGUGGUUAUAUAAGUCUGAUGUGAAAAUGCAGGGCUCAACUCUGUAUUGCGUUGGAAACUGUAUAACUAGAGUACUGGAGGGGUAAGCGGAACUACAAGUGUAGAGGUGAAAUUCGUAGAUAUUUGUAGGAAUGCCGAUGGGGAAGCCAGCUUACUGGACAGAUACUGACGCUGAAGCGCGAAAGCGUGGGUAGCAAACAGGAUUAGAUACCCCCGUAGUCCCUGUCUCUUAUACA